GCAGAGCUCAGGGCGCGCCCACCAUGGCCUGCACCCAUCUCCUGCUGCCCCUCCUCACUCUCUGCACAGCUCGUGCGGUCACCUCUCAGCUGACUCAGCCGCCUGCGGUGUCCGUGUCCUUGGGACAGACGGCCAGCAUCACCUGCCAGGGAGAUGAUUUUGAUUCCAUUGGUGCUAACUGGUACCAGCAGAAGCCGGGCCAGGCCCCUGUGAUGGUCAUUUAUGGGAAUAGAGAGCGGGCCUCAGGGAUCCCUGACCGGUUCUCUGGCUCCAACUCGGGGGACACAGCCACCCUGACCAUCAGCGGGGCCCAGGCCGAGGACGAGGCCGACUAUUACUGUCAGUCAGCUGAUAUCAGUGGUGGUGCUCACAGUGACACAGACAGACGGGGAAGUGAGACACAAACCCUCCCGUCCUGCUCACACUCUCCUCCAGCCCCGGGAGGACUGUGGACUCAGCAGCGACAGGCCUGGCCCGGAUCCCCCGGAGCUGAGCCCUCCAGGCGGCCCCUCCUUCCGGCCCUCCAGGCAGGCUCUGCACAGGGGGGUCAGGAAUGGAUUUAG
This is a non-coding RNA of Odocoileus virginianus texanus, 563 nucleotides long. Lineage: Eukaryota; Metazoa; Chordata; Mammalia; Artiodactyla; Cervidae. The record is from the annotation of a RefSeq genome assembly.